UACGUAUGGAGCAAGCGUUAUCCGGAUUUACUGGGCGUAAAGGGAGCGUAGGCGGCCUGCCAAGUCUGAUGUGAAAUACCGGGGCUCAACCCCGGGGCUGCAUUGGAAACUGGCAGGCUGGAGUGCCGGAGAGGCAGGCGGAAUUCCUAGUGUAGCGGUGAAAUGCGUAGAUAUAUGGAAGAACACCAGUGGCGAAAGCGGCUCUCUGGUCUGUAACUGACGCUGAGGUUCGAAAGCGUGGGUAGCAAACAGG
RNAcentral lists this ribosomal RNA (253 nucleotides) under uncultured Lachnospiraceae bacterium. RNAcentral's name for it is "partial 16S ribosomal RNA". It matches the Rfam family "Bacterial small subunit ribosomal RNA", at positions 524 to 776 of the family's 1533-position model. Lineage: Bacteria; Bacillati; Bacillota; Clostridia; Lachnospirales; Lachnospiraceae. The record is from RNAcentral.